Molecule: ribosomal RNA, 374 nt
Filed under: uncultured organism
Description: bacterial SSU rRNA
Rfam family: Bacterial small subunit ribosomal RNA
Source: RNAcentral
CGGGGGGAGCAAGCGUUGUUCGGAUUUACUGGGCGUAAAGGGCGCGUAGGCGGCCACCGCAAGUCGACUGUGAAAUCUCCGGGCUUAACUCGGAAAGGUCAGCCGAUACUGCGGGGCUAGAGUGCAGAAGGGGCAACUGGAAUUCUCGGUGUAGCGGUGAAAUGCGUAGAUAUUGAGAGGAACACCUGCGGCGAAGGCGGGUUGCUGGGCUGACACUGACGCUGAGGCGCGAAAGCUAGGGGAGCGAACGGGAUUAGAUACCCCGGUAGUCCUAGCCUUAAACGAUGAAUGCUUGGUGUCUGGGGUUUUAUAGUCCCCGGGUGCCGUCGCUAACGCUUUAAGCAUUCCGCCUGGGGAGUACGGUCGCAAGACUG